This 253-nucleotide ribosomal RNA is filed under the name uncultured bacterium. RNAcentral's name for it is "partial 16S ribosomal RNA". It matches the Rfam family "Bacterial small subunit ribosomal RNA", at positions 524 to 776 of the family's 1533-position model. The record is from RNAcentral.
UACGUAGGGUGCAAGCGUUAAUCGGAAUUACUGGGCGUAAAGCGUGCGCAGGCGGUGAUGUAAGACAGGUGUGAAAUCCCCGGGCUUAACCUGGGAACUGCAUUUGUGACUGCAUCGCUGGAGUGCGGCAGAGGGGGAUGGAAUUCCGCGUGUAGCAGUGAAAUGCGUAGAUAUGCGGAGGAAUACCGAUGGCGAAGGCAGCCCCCUGGGAUAACACUGACGCUCAUGCACGAAAGCGUGGGGAGCAAACAGG